Molecule: ribosomal RNA, 195 nt
Filed under: uncultured prokaryote
Description: partial 16S ribosomal RNA
Rfam family: Bacterial small subunit ribosomal RNA
Source: RNAcentral
ACGUAGGCAGCGAGCGUUGUUCGGAGUUACUGGGCGUAAAGAGUGCGUAGGCGGUUUUCUAAGUUUGGUGUGAAAUCUCCCGGCUCAACUGGGAGGGUGCGCCGGAAACUGGGGUGCUGGAGCGCGGGAGAGGAAAGCGGAAUUCCUGGUGUAGCGGUGAAAUGCGUAGAAAUCAGGAGGAACACCGGCGGUGUA